Molecule: ribosomal RNA, 556 nt
Filed under: uncultured bacterium
Lineage: Bacteria
Description: bacterial SSU rRNA
Rfam family: Bacterial small subunit ribosomal RNA
Source: RNAcentral
AAAUAGAUACCCAGGUAGUCCACGCCGUAAACGAUGGAUGCUAGCUGUUAGGAGUACCGACCCUUCUAGUAGCGAAGCUAACGCGUUAAGCAUCCCGCCUGGGGAGUACGGUCGCAAGAUUAAAACUCAAAGGAAUUGACGGGGACCCGCACAAGUGGUGGAGCGUGUUCUUUAAUUCGACGAUAAGCGAAGAACCUUACCAGGGCUUGACAUCCUGCUAAUUUCUCCGAAAGGAGAAAGUGCCUUCGGGCCGCAGUGACAGGUGUUGCAUGGCCGUCGUCAGCUCGUGUCGUGAGAUGUUAGGUUAAGUCCUUCAACGAGCGCAACCCUUAUGUUUAGUUGGAUUUUUCUAAACAGACUGCCUCGGUAACGGGGAGGAAGGAGGGGAUGAUGUCAGGUCAUUAUUGCCCUUACGUCCUGGGCUAGAAACGCGCUACAAUGGCCGGUACAAAGGGCAGCCAACCCGCGAGGGAGAGCAAAUCCCAUCAAAACCGGUCCCACGUUCGGAUUGCAGGCUGAAACUCGCCUGCAUGAAGCCGGAAUCACUAGUAAUCGU